CUACGGGAGGCAGCAGUGGGGAAUCUUGGACAAUGGGCGCAAGCCUGAUCCAGCAACGCCGCGUGGGGGAUGACGGCCUUCGGGUUGUAAACCUCUUUCACCUAUGACGAAGUUCUCAUCUUUUGGUGGGGGUGACGGUAGUGGGAGAAGAAGCACCGGCCAACUACGUGCCAGCAGCCGCGGUAAUACGUAGGGUGCGAGCGUUGUCCGGAAUUAUUGGGCGUAAAGGGCUCGUAGGCGGUUUGUCGCGUCGGGAGUGAAAUCCGCCAGCUUAACUGGUGGCUUGCUUUCGAUACGGGCAGACUAGAGGGAUGCAGGGGAGAACGGAAUUCCUGGUGUAGCGGUGAAAUGCGCAGAUAUCAGGAGGAACACCGGUGGCGAAGGCGGUUCUCUGGGCAUGUCCUGACGCUGAGGAGCGAAAGUGUGGGGAGCGAACAGGAUUAGAUACCCUAGUAGUCC
This 459-nucleotide ribosomal RNA is filed under the name uncultured bacterium. RNAcentral's name for it is "bacterial SSU rRNA". It matches the Rfam family "Bacterial small subunit ribosomal RNA", at positions 339 to 796 of the family's 1533-position model. The record is from RNAcentral.